RNAcentral lists this long non-coding RNA (1062 nucleotides) under Solanum tuberosum (potato). RNAcentral's name for it is "long non-coding RNA (STUB_LNC004324)". Lineage: Eukaryota; Viridiplantae; Streptophyta; Magnoliopsida; Solanales; Solanaceae. The record is from RNAcentral.
UUACUAAAACAAGUGACUUUCCAUAAACAUCAGCCUACUAUCUGAACGAAAGGGGAUAUUUUGAAGCGCCAAAAUUUGAGAAAGUAGGAUGAUAUAAUAUCUUUUCAAGAAAAUGAUGCGAGAACCCGCGGAAGAAGAAAUUCUCACAGGCCCUUAUUUCAAAGUUUCAGAUUCGAUUCCAAGGCAGCUUUUCUUUAGGAGGAAAGAGCGUAAACUCGACUCUAAAAGUUUCAGUUGCCUCCCUCUCUCCGCCCUAUAACUGAAAAAAAGGGGCACGGCGAAAGGACUUACGCUUUGCACCUGAAGGAGAUUCUCCAGUUGGGUACAGUGCAAAGCAAGAGGUGGAAAGUUUUGUUAGAAAUUCUGCCUUAUUCCAUGAGAUCUAGAAGCACUUCUGCAACUUUCUCUCUUCCCUAGCGCUCUUUUUUUUGACUUUUUCAAAGGGCAAUGAAGGCCUUCCUUAUAAGUUCUCGCUCGAUCGAAAGGAUAUAACACAUACGAAACCUUAGCUUCGCUGACUUUAUGAGGUCUAACCUUCGCCACGACAUUAGUGGCUUAGCUCUUCGCGCCUUUAGCGAAGUCCCUCCUUCCCAACCUCUCCUACAACAUCCAUUUCGUCAAAGAAGGACGGCAAAGAAGAAGGGCCCUGUUCCUAUGGGUUCACGUGCUAAGGCUCCACUAAAAAAUGCUCUUUUUCAAGAGAGAGGUUUAAGGCGCAUUAAUCACGGUCAUCCUCACCUUCCUCCGGCUUAUCACCGGCAGUCUGUUCAGGGUUCCAAACUCAACGAUGGCAACUAAACACGAGGGUUGCGCUCGUUGCUCCUUAGACGAAAGAGUGGUCUUUCAGGAUUGGUCGUUGGAUACUCUUAGGGAAGUAGGGAGUCUUACAAAAACAAGUGACUUCCCCAUGAACAGCAGCCUACUAUCUGUACGAAAGGGGAUAUUUUGAAGCGCCAAAAUUUGAGAAAGUAGGAUACUGUUAGGAUCUAUGAACUGGGGUCAUUUGUUCUUUCUAAAAAGGAAAAACUAUGUUGAAUAGCAAUCUUUAUUAAUGUUCUGGAG